This 3552-nucleotide long non-coding RNA is filed under the name Homo sapiens (human). RNAcentral describes it as "non-protein coding lnc-GLRX3-2:4". Lineage: Eukaryota; Metazoa; Chordata; Mammalia; Primates; Hominidae. The record is from RNAcentral.
UAUUAAUAUAGCAACUCCACCUUUCUUCUGGUCAGUGUUAGCGUGAUUUUUUUUGCGUCCUUUUAUUUAUCUAUUGCAUCUUUAUAUUUAUAGUGAGUUUCUUAUAGAUGGACUUAUAAUUGAGUCUUUUUUUUUUUUUAAAAGAUUGUGUUUCGCUCUUGUUGCCACCCAGGCUGGCGUGCAAUGGUGCGAUCUCGGCUCACUGCAACCUCUGCCUCCCGGGCUCAAGCGAUCCUCCUGCCUCAGCCUCCCAAGUAGCUGAGAUUACAGGCAUGAGCCACUACGCCCAGCUAAUUCUGUAUUUUUAGUAGAGACGGGGUUUCUCCAUGUUGGUCAGACUGGUCUUGAACUCCUGACCUCAAGUGAUCUGCCUGCCUUGGCCUCCCAAAGUACUGGGAUUACAGGUGUUGAGCUACCACGCACAGCUGAGUCUUGAUUUUUUAAUUCUCUGCCUUUUCCUUUGGGUAUUUAGUUUUAUCUCUACUAAAAUUAGAAAAAUUAGCUGGCACACUCCUGUAGUCCCAGCUACUUGGGAUGCUGAGGCAGAAGAAUCACUUGAACCCAGGAGGCAGAGGUUGCAGUGAAACCAGAUGGCACUGCUGUACUCCAGCCUGGGUGACAGACCGAAACUCUGCCUCAAUAAGUAAAUAAAUACAUACACACUUGUACACGAGGCCAGGUGCGGUGGCUCAUGCCUGUAAUCCCAGAAUUUUGGGAGUCCAAGGUAGGCGGAUCACUUGAGCCCAGGAAUUUGAGACCAGCCUGGGCAACAUGGCAAGAUCCCGUCUCUACAAAAAAGUUUUAAAAAAUUAGCUGGGCGUGGUGAUGCUUGCCUGUAGUCCCAGCUACUCAGGAGGCUGAGGCAGGAGGAUCGCUUGAACCCAGGAGAUUGAGGCUGCAGUGAGCCAUCAUCGCUCCACUGCACUGCAACCUGGGCAACAGAGCAAAAUUCUGUCUCAAAAAGAAAACAAAAAAAAAAGCUAGAAAGAAGGAUCUUGAAUCAACUCAUAUGACACCAGAAAAAAAAAAUAUUAUCGACUUGAUUUUCCAGCCCAGGUAUCUAAAAUGUUGCUCUACCCAAGAAACCUGGUCUUCAGUGAGUUCUUUAGGGAGAAGAGUCUCAGCAAAGAUGAAAGACUAAGUGGACAUGAAUCUUUAGGCGUUCUAGCGCAAGGCUGCGAGUUCUCCGCUGCUUGUUGUGGCCGGGGUUACUGCGGCGACCGCCAGAGCAGCCUUGGCGCUAUGUUGGAGCCAGGGGCUACCCCUCAGCGGUACUUGGGGCUGGUCCUGGGGGAGCCACGCAGGGUUGUGGCAGCGCUGCCUGAAAGUAUGAGACUGGAUUCGAAUCCUCAUGGUUUUCCAUGGGAAAUGGUGAUAUGUGCAGCUGUUGCUGCAUUUUUUGCUGUUCUCCUUUUUCUGUGGAGAAGUUUUAGAUCGGUUAGGAGUCGGCUUUAUGUGGGAAGAGAGAAAAAGCUUGCUAUAAUGCUUUCUGGACUAAUUGAAGAAAAAUGUAAACUACUUGAAAAAUUUAGCCUUGUUCAAAAAGAGUAUGAAGACUAUGAAGUAGCGUCAUCGUUAGAGGAUGCCAGCUUUGAGAAGGCGGCAGCAGAAGCACGAAGUUUGGAGGCAACCUGUGAAAAGUUGAACAGGUCCAAUUCUGAACUUGAGCAUGAAAUUCUCUGUCUAGAAAAAGAGUUAAAAGAAGAGAAAUCUAAACAUUCGCAACAAAAUGAAUUGAUGGCGGAUAUUUCAAAAACGAUACAGCCUCUAGCAGAUGAGUCAGAAUCCCUCAAAUCACAAGUAGCUGAAGCCAAAAUGAUUGCAGUGAGCCAUGGUCACGCCAUUGCACUCCAGCCUGGGUGAAAAAGCAAGACCCUUUUUCAAAGAAAAUAAUAUUUUAUUUAAGGAUAGGAUUAGGCCUUGGGAUUCCUUUGGAAUUCAACUUCAUCCAGCUGUGUUAGUGGUCAUGUAGUCAUUAAAUAUCAGAAUACUGUUAUUUAAUAAAUAUACCCCAUCAUAAAAGGUCAUAUUUCUUUAGGGCAAAUACAGUUAGGACCAAUCUCCGUCCUGGGCAAGGACUUACCUGAUUCAAGAGGGGAGAAAACAGGGUGGUCAGGAAUACAUUUGUGAUUCACUCCCUGAAGAGGCAGUCUGGUGACGUGGUUUGGCUGUGUCUCCACCCAAAUCUCUUCUUGAAUUGUAGCUCCCAUGAUUCCCACGUGUUGUGGGAGGUAAUCAAGUCAUGGGGGUGGGUUUUUCUUGUGCUGUUCUCCUGAUAAUGAGAAGUCUCAUGAGAUCUGAUGGUUUUAUAAAGGGGAGUUCCCUGCAUAAGCUCCUUGCCUGCCUCCAUGUGAGACAUGACUUUGCUCCUCCUUUGACUUCUGCCAUAAUUGUGAGGCCUUCCCAGCCAUAUGCAACUGUGAGUCCAUUAAACCUCUUUCCUUUAUAAAUUACCCAUCUUGGGUAUUUUUUUUUUUUUUUUUUUUUUUUUUGAGACAGAGUUUCGCUCUUACUGCCCAGGCUGGAGUGCAAUGGCACAAUCUCAGCUCACCGCAACUUCUGCCUCCCAGGUUCAAGUGAUUCUCCUGCCUCAGCCUCCUGAGUAGCUGGGAUUACACGCAUGCGCCACCAUGCCUGGUUAAUUUUUUAUUUUUAGUAAAGAUGGGGUUUCUCCCUGUUGGCCAGGCUGGUCUCAAACUCCCAACCUUAGGUGAUCCACUCGCCUCAGCCUCCCAAAGUGCUGGGAUUACAGGCGUGAGUCACUGCGCUGGGCCAGUAUGUCUUUAUUAGCAGCAUGAAAACUGACUAAUGCAUCCGGUCACUCUUAGCACAGUGACAUUGAAUGUGCACAAACUAAAAAAUAAGGUUUCAACCAAACUGGUGAGAGCAUUCCUCUUGGUGUUCUCUAGGAAGAAGGCCAGAGGGUUUGGGACAAUAGAAAUAAAACACAGUGGUUUUGAAAAUGGGGCCAAACUGUGCUUCCCCGUGGCGGGGCUGAGAAGGAGGGAGCAGGGCACUGAGCCCGCUGUUCUUUCGGCCCUGGGCUCUCUGCCUCCUACCAUCAGCCCUCAGGGCAGCUGCUCCUCGCUGACCACCUGGCUGCUGAUGGGCUUGGUGGCCAGCAGAGCUGCCCCGUUUUGUCUGUGCAGAGUCAGCCAGACGUGGCUCAGCGCAGCUCUUUCCCUCGGUUUCAUGGAGUAAAGGGUUCCUCAUUAGGGCCCCACACAUCCGUCUCUCAUCAUAGGAGGGUGACUUUCUUCCUGCAUCUCCCGUUUCCACUUAGUCAUUUCAACCAGCGGCAAACUGGAAAAAGGGGUCAGGCCUGUGUUCUAGUUUUAGGGCCAGAAUUCAGUUCCAGGGCCCCAGACAACUGCAAGGAAGACUGAAAAAUGUAAUCUAGCUGAAUGCACAGGAGGAAGAUGAAACAGUGCUUGAUUGAAACAGCACAGUCUCUGCCGUGGACCUGAGGCCCCACCUACUCAACCAUUGAAGCUGCUGAGUUGUGCUGGAUGCAAAUUAACAUCCGGUGACUAGGGGCUCCUACAAUGUGUC